UAGGGAAUCUUCCACAAUGGACGAAAGUCUGAUGGAGCAACGCCGCGUGAGUGAAGAAGGUUUUCGGAUCGUAAAGCUCUGUUGUUGGUGAAGAAGGAUAGAGGCAGUACUGGUCUUUAUUUGACGGUAAUCAACCAGAAAGUCACGGCUAACUACGUGCCAC
RNAcentral lists this ribosomal RNA (163 nucleotides) under uncultured bacterium. RNAcentral describes it as "partial 16S rRNA". It matches the Rfam family "Bacterial small subunit ribosomal RNA", at positions 355 to 511 of the family's 1533-position model. The record is from RNAcentral.